This 1009-nucleotide ribosomal RNA is filed under the name Demequina sp. ER-57. RNAcentral describes it as "bacterial SSU rRNA". It matches the Rfam family "Bacterial small subunit ribosomal RNA", at positions 56 to 1077 of the family's 1533-position model. Lineage: Bacteria; Bacillati; Actinomycetota; Actinomycetes; Micrococcales; Demequinaceae. The record is from RNAcentral.
UGCAAGUCGAACGGUGAAGCGAGAGCUUGCUCUCGUGGAUCAGUGGCGAACGGGUGAGUAACACGUGAGUAACCUGCCCCAGACUCUGGGAUAAGCCUUGGAAACGAGGUCUAAUACCGGAUACGAGACGAGAUCGCAUGGUCAUCGUCUGGAAAGAAUUUCGGUCUGGGAUGGACUCGCGGCCUAUCAGCUUGUUGGUGAGGUAAUGGCUCACCAAGGCGACGACGGGUAGCCGGCCUGAGAGGGCGACCGGCCACACUGGAACUGAGACACGGUCCAGACUCCUACGGGAGGCAGCAGUGGGGAAUAUUGCACAAUGGGCGCAAGCCUGAUGCAGCGACGCCGCGUGGGGGAUGAAGGCCUUCGGGUUGUAAACCCCUUUCAGCAGGGAAGAAGCGAAAGUGACGGUACCUGCAGAAGAAGCGCCGGCUAACUACGUGCCAGCAGCCGCGGUAAUACGUAGGGCGCAAGCGUUGUCCGGAAUUAUUGGGCGUAAAGAGCUCGUAGGCGGUCUGUCGCGUCUGCUGUGAAAACCCGAGGCUCAACCUCGGGCCUGCAGUGGGUACGGGCAGACUAGAGUGUGGUAGGGGAGACUGGAAUUCCUGGUGUAGCGGUGGAAUGCGCAGAUAUCAGGAGGAACACCAAUGGCGAAGGCAGGUCUCUGGGCCACUACUGACGCUGAGGAGCGAAAGCAUGGGGAGCGAACAGGAUUAGAUACCCUGGUAGUCCAUGCCGUAAACGGUGGGCACUAGAUGUGGGGCUCUUUCCAUGAGUUCCGCGUCGCAGCUAACGCAUUAAGUGCCCCGCCUGGGGAGUACGGCCGCAAGGCUAAAACUCAAAGGAAUUGACGGGGGCCCGCACAAGCGGCGGAGCAUGCGGAUUAAUUCGAUGCAACGCGAAGAACCUUACCAAGGCUUGACAUAUACCCUUUAUCCCUAGAGAUAGGGAGUCCUUCGGGGGGGUAUACAGGUGGUGCAUGGUUGUCGUCAGCUCGUGUCGUGAGAUGUUG